This 424-nucleotide ribosomal RNA is filed under the name uncultured prokaryote. RNAcentral describes it as "bacterial SSU rRNA". It matches the Rfam family "Bacterial small subunit ribosomal RNA", at positions 355 to 796 of the family's 1533-position model. The record is from RNAcentral.
UGGGGAAUAUUGGACAAUGGGGGAAACCCUGAUCCAGCCAUGCCGCGUGAGUGAUGAAGGCCUUAGGGUUGUAAAGCUCUUUCGCCUGGGAAGAUAAUGACGGUACCAGGAGAAGAAGCCCCGGCUAACUUCGUGCCAGCAGCCGCGGUAAUACGAAGGGGGCUAGCGUUGUUCGGAAUUACUGGGCGUAAAGCGCGCGUAGGCGGAUCAUUAAGUCAGGGGUGAAAUCCCGGGGCUCAACCUCGGAAUUGCCUCUGAUACUGGUGGUCUUGAGUCCGAGAGAGGUGAGUGGAACUCCGAGUGUAGAGGUGAAAUUCGUAGAUAUUCGGAAGAACACCAGUGGCGAAGGCGGCUCACUGGCUCGGUACUGACGCUGAGGUGCGAAAGCGUGGGGAGCAAACAGGAUUAGAUACCCGUGUAGUCC